CUGGCACAGAGACUUUGUCUCCCACACUGACUUCAAAUAUCUUUGGGAAUCUGUGCUCCUUAUUUACUCAGUGCUUGAGAAGAACAGACAAAGCCAGUGGAAGGGUCCGAGUGUGGCAUUCGCUGCAUUUAUAAAGAAUAAGAGCUGCAGUGGGUAUGAUUCUUGAACAGAGUGGCGCUCAUCCUUGUUCCUGCAAUGAAGGACACGCCAGCCUCCAGGCUCUUUGACAGAUGAUUGGAACUAUGCAAAUAUUAUGGAAGAUAUCCCAUGUCAAGAAGCUGACAGCACACACGUUUGGGAAGGAUUUAGUGGCUGAAGCACUUCUAGAAGACAUCACCAAAAUGAAACAGUCUACUAUCAGCAAAGAAUGCCAGAGCAAGAGUGUGAAAGGAACGGAGAGCACAGAGCCGUGAUGCUGCCCCCUGCUGAUGGUGCAGGAGAAAGGAUGCAGCCUCAGUGUACGAUUCCCGCCAAAAGUACCAGACACACUAGAAGCUAAAGGGUGAAAAUAGGGUUUCUCUGCUGCAAUUCCAUCUCUUCCUCUAGAAACUUGUCAUAGGAAUGACUCCCUGUAACUUCCCCACCUGCCUCUUCUUUCCUUAAGUAGUGGCUAACAGAAUCCCCUUCCUUCCUCAGUCCUUGCUAAGUGACUGAAUUCAGAAACUCCUGUACAGUAUUACAACCAUCUGUAGUAUUGGUCUUUGGAGCUCUAGACUUAUUUUAGAAAGAAAAAGGUGGAAAAUCAUCCAAGAAUUUUCCUGUGCACAGCAGAGGGAUCUGUUUCUCUUACCAUCAGAAAGGGAUUCAUAGUCAUAAUCAUAUUCGUCCUCCUCAUCUUCCUCUUCCUCAUUAUUGGCAGGUGGGGGGUUGGCAUUCCCACCAUUAUAAGCCUGCGCUUGCAUAGAUGCUAACUGAUGAGCCUGUAAAAUAGCAAUAAUUGUAAACUGCAGAUGCCAAGCUACUGAAUUCAUUUAUAACCUUCAAAACUACCCCUGAUGUUUAACACAAUCAUUAAAAGUAGCUUAACCUAUUUUGAUACAUUUGGGAGAGGAGGAAAAACAUCUAGAUUCACUUGAAACACAAUGUCAACACUUGGGUGAACUUCAGCAUUCCUGCAGGAAGAGUCCUGGAGCUUUUACACACAAUCUCCAGAAGACCGUGUGCGGUGCUCAGCUAGCCAGGUUCCCGGGACAACCCCUCCAAGAGAAAGUUUUGGUGAUUUGGAGAACCAGCAGCAAUCCCAAAUGACUGAAGAAGUGAGUCACCCAUCAGUUUUUCAAAAGUAUGUCUCUGUUAAGAAACCAUUUUUUCCCCUUCUUAAAAUAAUAUCUACAGGCCCCUGACCUUGAGAACAAUGUUAGAAUCCCUAUGGACAAAGAGGCCAAAAGAAUUGUUGUUGGUUUAAAUAAAAUUUUUUUCAAAAGGC
Mandrillus leucophaeus (drill) is the source of this 1426-nucleotide long non-coding RNA. RefSeq lists it as uncharacterized. The transcript is spliced from 4 exons. The record is from RefSeq and is a predicted model, not a curated record. NCBI's taxonomy places the organism in Eukaryota, Metazoa, Chordata, Mammalia, Primates, Cercopithecidae.